GCUUAAAAUCUAGCCCCAAUAAUACAGAAUAUAAAAUUCACAAACACCCUCUGCUAACUAAACCAUUCUAACACUUUAGUAAAGGAGAUUGAAAAAGCACUAAGAGCUAUAUACAGAGUACCGCAAGGGAAAGAUGAAAUAAAAAUGAAAUAGUUAUAAAGCACAAAAAAGUAAAGAUUACCCCUUGUACCUUUCGCAUCAUGGUUUAACCAGUCUAACCAAGCAAAAAGAAUUUAAGUUUGACCUCCCGAAACUAAGUGAGCUACUUCAAGGCAGCUUAUUGAGCUAACCCGUCCCUGUUGCAAAAGGGUGGGAAGACCUUCAAGUAGGGGUGACAGACCUAACGAACUUAGUGAUAGCUGGUUACUCAAGAAAAGGAUUUUAGUCCAACCUAAAAUUUUACUAAUAACCCAAAAUAAACUAUUUUAGAGCAAUUUAAAUAAGGUACAGCCUAUUUAAAACAGGAUACAACCUAAACUAACGGGUCAUCUUCAUUUUCUGUACAACUAAGUGGGCCUAAAAGCAGCCACCUUUAAUAAAAGCGUCAAAGCUUAAUUGAACCGAUACCCCAAUACCAAAAAUUACAGCAAACCCUUUACCAGUAUUGAGUAAUUCUAUAUUUGUAUAGAAAUUAUUAUGUUAAAACUAGUAACAAGAAGAAGAACUUCUCUUAGAUGCAAGUGUAAAUCAGAAAGGACACCCCACUGAUAAUUAUUCACCCAUGAACACAAAGUAGCAACUUAACAAGAAAACCCUACUUGUCCUAAUGUUAACCUAACACAAGAGCAUCUCAAGAAAGAUUAAAAGAAAAAGAAGGAAUUCGGCAAAUAUUAACCUCGCCUGUUUACCAAAAACAUCGCCUCUUGACAAACUAUAAGAGGUCCAGCCUGCCCAGUGACUCUGUUCAACGGCCGCGGUAUCCUAACCGUGCGAAGGUAGCGUAAUCACUUGUUCUUUAAAUGAGGACUAGUAUGAAUGGCACCACGAGGGUUAUACUGUCUCCUUUUUCUAAUCAGUAAAACUAAUCUUCCCGUGCAGAAGCGGGAAUAAACCUAUAAGACGAGAAGACCCUAUGGAGCUUUAAACUAAGUCACAUUUGCUUUACUCUCUACCCCUCCCCAGAGAAGUCAUAAACAUCUUAACAAACUGAUGACUAGUUUUCGGUUGGGGUGACCGCGGAGCAAAAAAAAACCUCCACAUUGAAAGGAACUUAAUCCUAAGCCAAGAGCCACAACUCUAAGCAUCAAUAAAACGACAUUAAUUGACCCAAUAUAUUGAUCAACGAACCAAGUUACCCUAGGGAUAACAGCGCAAUCCACUUCAAGAGCUCCUAUCGACAAGUGGGUUUACGACCUCGAUGUUGGAUCAGGGUAUCCCGGUGGUGCAGCCGCUACCAAAGGUUCGUUUGUUCAACGAUUAAAACCCU
Molecule: ribosomal RNA, 1426 nt
Filed under: Allophryne ruthveni (Tukeit Hill frog)
Lineage: Eukaryota; Metazoa; Chordata; Amphibia; Anura; Allophrynidae
Description: partial 16S ribosomal RNA
Rfam family: Bacterial large subunit ribosomal RNA
Source: RNAcentral